This 73-nucleotide transfer RNA is filed under the name Leucoagaricus sp. SymC.cos. It matches the Rfam family "tRNA". From Rfam's summary of the family: Transfer RNA (tRNA) molecules are approximately 80 nucleotides in length. Their secondary structure includes four short double-helical elements and three loops (D, anti-codon, and T loops). The record is from Rfam by way of RNAcentral. Lineage: Eukaryota; Fungi; Basidiomycota; Agaricomycetes; Agaricales; Agaricaceae.
UCAUUCUUAGCUCAGUUGGUAGAGUGUGUCACUAGCAAUGAUGAGGUCAGUUGUUCGAGUUGGCCAGAAAGAA